GAUGAACGCUGGCGGCGUGCCUAAUACAUGCAAGUCGAGCGAACGGACGAGAAGCUUGCUUUUCUGAUGUUAGCGGCGGACGGGUGAGUAACACGUGGAUAACCUACCUAUAAGACUGGGAUAACUUCGGGAAACCGGAGCUAAUACCGGAUAAUAUUUUGAACCGCAUGGUUCAAAAGUGAAAGACGGUCUUGCUGUCACUUAUAGAUGGAUCCGCGCUGCAUUAGCUAGUUGGUAAGGUAACGGCUUACCAAGGCAACGAUGCAUAGCCGACCUGAGAGGGUGAUAGGCCACACUGGAACUGAGACACGGUCCAGACUCCUACGGGAGGCAGCAGUAGGGAAUCUUACGCAAUGGGCGAAAGCCUGACGGAGCAACGCCGCGUGAGUGAUGAAGGUCUUCGGAUCGUAAAACUCUGUUAUUAGGGAAGAACAUAUGUGUAAGUAACUGUGCACAUCUUGACGGUACCUAAUCAGAAAGCCACGGCUAACUACGUG
Molecule: ribosomal RNA, 497 nt
Filed under: uncultured bacterium
Lineage: Bacteria
Description: partial 16S ribosomal RNA
Rfam family: Bacterial small subunit ribosomal RNA
Source: RNAcentral